This is a long non-coding RNA of Cyprinus carpio (common carp), 848 nucleotides long. RefSeq lists it as uncharacterized. The record is from RefSeq and is a predicted model, not a curated record. Lineage: Eukaryota; Metazoa; Chordata; Actinopteri; Cypriniformes; Cyprinidae. The transcript is spliced from 3 exons.
UCAAGUAAUUUGCACACCACAAUCUCUUUAUUUAGUAUAUUACAGAGUAUAAAGUAUGCAUUUUAGUUAUCAAGAUAUAGAUCAACAUAAAGUAUUUUGUUGCAGGGCAUCUAAUUUUCAGUUUUUGACCGUGAUUUAUGAUGAAAAGUGUGGCAUUAGGGAUUAGCUGCAUGGCGUACCUUACUGUUCACUAAAACUCUGAUGUUGCAGCUGUUUUGGAGACCUUCAUGAUGUCUUGUACAUAUUGUUCCUCUGUUAUUGGCAGCAGGAGCCAAGGCUGUCAGGAUCUCAGCCAGGAGAACAUGAGCUGCUACCCUUGCGGAACCAACCGUAAUUUCCAUGGGGGAUCUUUAAUAUUUAUGGUCUUUUGAGGACUGUGGCAUGUCAUUGCAAGUUUGACACCUGCCGAGGGUAGCAAACCAGAACGUGAUGGCAUAAUAUCCAAAUGCAUCCAGACAAAGAUGUUUCCUUCAGAGAACAUGAGUGCUUGUGUGUCUUCUGUCCAGGAAGAAGCUGAUUGGUUCCUGCAGUCUUACUGGUGCCACGCCCUGCCGAUCAGCUGUCUCUUUGCUGCCUCCAUCAUCACUUCCUGCUUCAGCUUUGUUCUGUCUUGCUGUGUUUGCUCUGUCUUACUCUGCUAGUUAGUUACAUGUGUUAGUAAGAAUUUCUGUGUGUGUUCAAUCGAGUGUUCGUUUGUGAGAGAUUGAUCGUUGUUUGUUAGUUUGCUUGGCCCAUUUAUCCAUACUACUGACUUCCACCUGUUCUUUGUCUUUGAUUCUAGAUUGCCCCUGUUUGGAUCUGUUCACUUAUCAUUGUAAAUAAUUGUAUAUAAAAAUAUUCUGGGGAGG